Molecule: non-coding RNA, 70 nt
Organism: Dipodomys ordii (Ord's kangaroo rat)
Lineage: Eukaryota; Metazoa; Chordata; Mammalia; Rodentia; Heteromyidae
Source: Rfam
GGGAAGGUAGCUCAGUGGUAGAGUGCUUGCCUUGCAUGCAUAAGGCCCUGGGUUCGAUUCCUCAGCACCA